RNAcentral lists this small RNA (62 nucleotides) under unclassified sequences. Its description in RNAcentral is "porB RNA". It matches the Rfam family "porB RNA". The record is from Rfam by way of RNAcentral.
CAUUUAUAUUAGCAGUCAUGUAAUCACCCGAUUCGGGUGGUCGACGCAACAGCUUAAUCGGA